AGCAGCCGCGGUAAUUCCAGCUCCAAUAGCGUAUAUUAAAGUUGUUGCAGUUAAAAAGCUCGUAGUUGAAUUUCGGGAUCAGACUGUCGGUCGUGCCUCGGUACGCACUGGCAUUAUUGGUUCCUACCUUCUGAAGAACCGCGAUGUCAUUAAUUUGGUGUCGCGGGGAAUCAGGACUGUUACUUUGAAAAAUUAGAGUGUUUAAAGCAGGCUUACGCUUGAAUACAUUAGCAUGGAAUAAUGAAAUAGGACGUUUGAUUCUAUUUUGUUGGUUUCUAGGAUCGACGUAAUGAUUAAUAGGGAUAGUUGGGGGCAUUAGUAUUCAAUUGUCAGAGGUGAAAUUCUUGGAUUUAUUGAAGACUAACUACUGCGAAAGCAUUUGCCAAGGAUGUUUUCAUUAAUCAAGAACGAAAGUUAGGGGAUCGAAGACGAUCAGAUACCGUCGUAGUCUUAACCAUAAACUAUGCCGACUAGGAAUCAGACGAUGUUAAUUUUUAAUGUAUCG
Molecule: ribosomal RNA, 505 nt
Filed under: uncultured Glomeraceae
Lineage: Eukaryota; Fungi; Glomeromycota; Glomeromycetes; Glomerales; Glomeraceae
Description: SSU rRNA
Rfam family: Eukaryotic small subunit ribosomal RNA
Source: RNAcentral